This 10625-nucleotide long non-coding RNA is filed under the name Gallus gallus (chicken). RNAcentral's name for it is "lncRNA (ENSGALG00010022450.1)". Lineage: Eukaryota; Metazoa; Chordata; Aves; Galliformes; Phasianidae. The record is from RNAcentral.
AAAAUAGUAUAAUGAAAAGCAGUGGCUGCCGUGCUCUCCUGCCUCAGACUGUUGGUUUCUCAAUAUAUUGAUCCCCCAGAGUAGCCUCUGCAAUGUCAGGUUUUCACCUAACUGUUUCACCCCUUCCCAUGAUAGCUCCUAAAAUGAAGCUCUCACAAUUGGACAAAAAGCAAUCCAAAAAGCAAUUUGUUUUGCCAAUAAUUUGGUUUCUCCAAAGACAUGGUAGAAAGUAUUUGUGCAUUGCAAGGAGUGAGGAGUCAGCCUUCCCCAGAGGUUUCCUGCAGUGGAGCUGGGAUCAAAGGGCCUUGAAUCCCCAGCCCAGGGCUGCCACGGUGGCUGUAGGUUCAUGGUGUGGCUUCUCAGGGCAAGAGGGACUUGGACAUCUUAAAGAGAGCAGCUGUUGAGAUGUGGCUCUGCAGGAUCAACUUGGACAACAUUCAUCAUUCCUACCUCUCUUUCCUCUUCUAUCUACCAGGCAUUUCUGGAUGAUAAGCUUUGGAAAUACUUCUUUCUGGUGGUACACCAAGUCCAUGUGCACGUUAUGGAAGAGCUGUUGAGAUUUUCACUUUAUCAAUCAAGCAUGCUGUUUUAUUUAAUUAACUUCUUUCCUAGUCAAUUUGUAGCUAUCUUUUACUGCGUGUUGUAGGAGUGAUGGGAAAGGAGCUAAGUCACUCACUGAACCUACGUGUUCUCCAGUGCUUUUUAUCUCUCUCAUUUAAAUCAACAGAACCUGUCUGCCAAAAGAAGAAACUUAGCUGUCUCCCAUUUCUGUCUGUGGUCUGUCUCCUUGAAGACCAUGAGGUACUUCAUACAUUCCUCAGCUUUUGCCUGCUAUUUGUGAAUUAAUGGGGUGAAGCGAUUUCCCUGAACUUAUCAGAAAAUCUAUGUAAGACAGAGAAGAGGAAUGGGAUCUGGUCCAUCAGGUUUACAGGUGCUGACCGGAACAAACAAGUGGUCCAGACCCUGAAUGCUUUAAUAUCCAUCUCUUAAGAAAGAGGUCUUCUCCCCACUAUCCCAUGAAGGCAAUGAUCAUUGCUCAGAAAUUCAGCCUUUCGUCCUGAUCAGAGCCCUCUCCAGCAUCACCUUCACAGCGAAAAAGACACAAACCCAACGGCUCAACACUUGCAAGGCAGAGCAGUGCUGCAGCCCCGUGUGCCCUUCGACUCACUCCCUUUCCCUCGGCCAGGCCUCAAGCAGAGCAGUGAUUGAAGAGAGGUGGAGCCCCAUGACUGAUUCCCCCGAGAACAUAACUCUGGUUUCUCUGACACCCUGAACAAGAGCGAGAUGUCAGGAUCCUUCCUUAGGGCUGCUGCAUGAGAGGGAUGGACCGGUGACACUGAUGCUACAUCACCUCUUCUGAGCACAGGAGCUGAGUUCCACGUUUGGCAGCUCCAGGAUGAACCGGUGGCGUUUCCUUGACUCCAGUGGCGAUCGAUUCCAUUUGGAGCCUGUAGCAACUGACGUCCAGGGGAGCCCAAGUCCCACCCAUCACAUGGCAACAGGAAGGUAAAGAGUGACGACUGUGCUCAAACUGAACAGGUGGGCUCUGAGGAAACGUAAUGGAGGUGAAGACAAGUGGUGAUGAGGCUGGCACAGCUGCACCCAACAUGGUUCUUCAGACAGCUGUUGGAUUUGGCCAGCUCUGCCUCUUGCUGCCCACAAAAGGGCAUGAGCCCUUCUGAGCUUUGCGUGAUGCCUGGUGGCACAUCCCUCCAAAAGGAAGUGGGAAGAUUAAAGAAAGACGUUGAGGCCCUGGAAUGUGCCCAGAGAGGGGCAACGAAGCUGUGAACGGGCUGCAGCACAAGUCUUAUGGAGAGAGGCAGAGGGAACUGGUGUUCUUCAGUCUGGAGAAGAGGCUCAGGGGAGACCUCAUUGCUCUCUACAAUGCCCUGAAAGGAGGCUGUGGUGAGAGUGUUCAAUUCUUUCCCCGUCUCCCCCACCAGCCCCAGCCCAGGAGCGAGCAGCUCCCGAAAAUGCUGAGGAAAUGGAGCUGAAAGCCUGGGGCAAUGGGGCAGAGAAGGUGAAUCUAAAGAGAUGCAGAAAUGAACCAGACAGGGCCGGGAAAUGUACGGAGAACCCACCCUAGCCUGUAUGUGAGGGAGUGCAUACCACAGCGUAUGAGAUCAACAGCCCCUUUCCGCAGUCUCAGUAGUGCUGAGUCCCAGAAGAGGGUUACAGAUUUACAAGGAAUUCAGAUUUUUACAUUCAGGAUGAAAUCAGCAAAUUUUAGAGCUUGCCGAGAUUGAAGCGACGGUGUUUAGCGAUGCAGCCCCGAGCACGCGGAGCCCAGCACCGCUUUGCUCCCAGUAAUGAGUCCCCCCGGGGGUCACAGCCCCCACUGCAUGGGGCUGCCCAAAGCCCUUUGCCCUGCGAUUCUUCCAGCAAAGACACUGUACAAUCACAGGCAGCUGCACUGAGGAAAAUGUAAAUGCAAUAGAAAACACAGACGUGGAGGAGCAUCUGUUCUCCCCUCCAGGUCGAGCAGUGGUCUUGAAAGAUGAACCGGCAUGGGGAGAGCUCAGAAGGAGCGAGGUGAGCACAUCUACCAGUGGAAUGUCUGCUCCUACAGUGGCACACUUGUCAGGUGAGAUGGUCUUUCAGCUCAAAAUCAUAUUCUGGGCUCUUGCAUUUUACAGAUGUUUAUAUCCAAAGCCAGAACUGUAUUUCCUAUGGUCCCAUCCGAAAAGCUCCAGCUGCAGACAAAUCUAGGGAGGCAUCAGCUCCUUCUGCAGCAGUGACUGUUGAUACCACCUCACUGAGCUGCCAAUGUCCACCAUGCAAUGUGCCUGCUACAUGAUGCCAGAGAGAAGCACAAUUCAUGGAAGGCUUGCAGGAAGGAGAGAGAAUGUAUAGCAUAGAAGCCUGGAAAGCAGGCCAAGAGGAGGUUAUUCCCAUGAUACAUCUCUGUUCCCCCCUCCCCAUCAUGUCAGCAGCCUCUUCAGCUUCACACAGAGGUUGUGAGGAUUCAUUAGUUAAUGUUUGUAAAGCACUAUAUAGAUGGAGAGAGCUAUGUAAGUGCUAAGUAUUAUUAUUAUUACAGAGAGUCGCUGUUAAGGCAAUGGAUAUGCUCUUAAGUGUCAUUUCAUAUUUAAUUAACGUGCAAUAAUUGUCUUCCAAAACCUGGAGGUACAUCUUUAUUCUUGACACUUCCUUUAAAGAGACACUGCAGCAGAGCUGCUGCUAAUGGGCCUCCUCUCUGGCAUAGGAGGAACAGGAUGAGCUGGGAACUGGAAGAAGAGGAAAGGGAGGUCAAUGAGGGACUUUCUUCUUCACAAUUCCACAAACAUGCCAUGGAUCCAUGGUGAGUUUGGGUUUUGAUCACCGAGCUGCCCCAAGGGAUACUGACCUGGUGAGGGGUCUGCAGCCUUCCCCUUAGACUUUCCCCAUGCCCUGCAUCGACUGAGCAGUGCCUGUGGCUUCUGAGUAACUGAACCCAGCUGUAGCUGUGCACCUUGCCUCUGUGAGUAGAAUAAAAGAACUAAAAAGGGAGGAUGGAGAAGCAUGAAAUCACAGUACUGGGAAUUUCCCUUCUAUUUUUCAGGAACAUGUUUGCCAAGAAGUGGUAUUCUCAGAGCUAGGUUACGUAUCUUUUACUGACAGAGGGAAGCAAGGAGAAAUCAGCUGUGGGGCCAUCUGCUCCUCAAGCAAAUGGGAAGGGGAAGCCACCUCUCCCACCUCCCCACGAUGUUUGCAUUUCCGAGUGAGACCAGAGAAGUAAAAAAAGAAGCAGUCCAUCAUUAACUCAGAAAUAACCCGCCUACAGGAGCUGCAGAAGGAUGCUGGGCCCUUCAUGCCUGUCUUUUUUUUUUACCUGAAUGUGUAAUUUCUCACUGGUUCGUUGACAAAUCAGUGCCCUCUAUGGGCCCUUGGCUGGCAUCUCUCUGAGGAGCCCACAGGGUGGGGUUGGGAGGAGCAGGAUGCUCCAAGAGAGCUGCGAUGGUGCCAGUCCCCUUGUCCUCACCAUCUUAAAGAGGCAGCCCCCCUACCAACAUCACUCCCACACACUUGUGUGCCCUUCCUGCCCCUCUCUGAUCACUGAGAUGCUCCUCAUCAGUGCUAAGUGCUCUGAAGGUCACAGGCUACACAGCUCCCAACAUCACUGAGGAUCAGGCUUUGGCCUUGCUGCCACCCCCCUGCUCCCCCCGGGACCCCUGAAGUGACAGAACCUGGCAGCUCGUUCCUCGCUUCCCCCUCCCACCUCCCCCUUCCUUCUCUCACUCUCAUUUAUUUCAAUUUGCUAUGCUUUCUUUCCUGGCUCUCAGCAUUAACUGGGAAGGGGGAGAGGAGGGUGGAGGGAUGGUUUCAUGGUGGAGAGGUGGGGAAAACCUUGUAUGAUGGUGAGUGAGGGUCUGCAGGUCACAUUGGAGGUUAUGGGGAAAUCAGUCAACUUUUUAGGCUGAUUUUGGGUGUAGCCUCCCAUGAUUCAGAACAUAAUAGAGGUCAGUGAAUUGGCAAAGUGCUGUCAGGACCUCAGGAUGCCCUCAUAGCAACUUGGGCUGCUCUAUUUCAGUGCCAAUUCAUGGGAGCCAGGGCAGUGUGUGCUCACGUAGAGGUGGCAGUGGGGCAUGGGCUGCAUUGCUGAGUGAAUGGCAUAUCUGUGACAUUCAUCCUCAGUGCAGACAGCGUGAUUUGUGGCUAAAGGGGAUGUGCAUCUGCUACAGCACUGCUCAGCCUCUCUGCUCCUUUUGCCCUUAUCCUUGGGGCCCCAAAAGGCUCCAUUUGCCAGGAAUGCCCUCCACUCACUGCAGCCAUCUGAGCAAACACGAGAUCUGCACUCAUCACCUCCUGCUUCCCUCCCUUUGACUGUGCUGUCACACAUUGCCACACAGCAGUUAUUGUUCCAGGCACUACGGCACUGCACAUAAUCCAGGUGACUUCCAGAGCGAUUCAGCUCUCCAGUCUUUCACAAACCCAAAUCAAUGUACAAGCCCUGCCCAUUAAGACUCAGAUUCCCACACAUGGCUCAUGGCGUCUGUAGCACUCCCUUCCCUGAACCAGACUGAUGAGCCACAUUACUGCCAUGUUAACCAAAAGCCCGUUUCAGUGACUUCUUGUCCUGUACGUGUUCUCUGCAGAUCCUCAUGGAGAUGGUCUGUGGGGUCUGUUCUCUUUUAUUCCCUACAAAUCCCUCUACAAUGGCUGUAAGAAAUUCCCCGGUUAGCCAACUCCUUGUGGGUUUUGUUUGUUCUUUGUACUUAUUCAAGCUGAAGUCUAGAGAGGAAAAGCAGGGCAGAUGUGUUUGAAGGGCAGAGCUAAAAAGAGGACACUUCACGUUAGCAUAUAAAAUCAAAAUGUGAAGCCAUUAGAAAACAUGGCAAACAGGUGACAAAAAAUGUAUAUACUUACUGCCAACACGAGCUCCUGUCUGACAAGCUGAAUUAUAGCAUGCAUUUUUAAUCCAUCUUUGGAGCAGAGAUUCUACCAACCUCUCUCUCUAGAAAUACAUCACACAGGCUUUGGAUAUUGCUGCUGGUUGAUAUUAUCAAUACCCUCUUUUCCCCAAGAGCUUUCUUCAACAGCCAUCACCCCGCACUGCAGGUUGUCCGACAGAAAAUUGGAAUGGUAAUGAAGACUAAGAGAAGAGAGAAAGCAAAAAAGAAUACUUCGUACUCACAUCAUAACAAAUCUUAAGAGAAGGGGAUGGGAGAUAAUGUCACUGCCAGUUCAAAAAGGUGGAUACAAAAAUAUAAUGAAGGUGCCUGUGUUUCAACACGUUGUCCAGAAAGUGCACUAGCAUCUGAAAGUACAAAAAUACUCAGAACAAUCUAGCAUGUUCAGGACGUAAGUGUGUUUCUACCUGUUAAAGGGAAAGGCAAGAGAGAGAAUCCAGUUGCUAUGGAAAUCAGGCCAUCUCCAUGGGAAUUCAGAAAGUAGAGUAUCCUCUUGGCCAGUAAAUCAGGCAGCGAGCAGCCAUUUCUGGACCAUGGCACUGAGCAAUUCUAAGCUGCUCACAGGACAGUUUGUUUCCUCAGCACUGCCGCCCUACCUCAGUAUCAAUGAAAUUGGUGAAAAAAGGGGGUUAUUGGUGAAAUUAAGAAUUUGUUUUGUGGAAUGUAAAGAAGGUUCAGGGGAGAACUGAUAGCAGCCUUUCAGUAUCUAAAGGGGUGGGGAGGGGUGUAAGAAAGAUGGGGACAGAUUCUUUAGCAGGGUCUGUUGUGAUAGGACAAGGGGAUAUGGUUUAAUUACCCCUAAACUGAAAGAGGGGAGAUUUAGAUUGGAUGUAAGGAAAAAAGCUUUGUACGUUAAGGCCAGGGAGGCUCUGACACAGGCUGCCCAGAGAGGUGGUGGUGCCCCAUCCCUGGAGACGGCCAAGGUCAGACUGGGUGGGCUCUGAGCUGUGGGUGUCCCUGUUCAGUGCAGGGGCAGUUGGACCAGAUGGCUUUUAAAGGAUCCUUCCAACUCAAACAAUUCCACAAUUCUCCGAUUCUCCUGCAUGUUUCUGUGGAGGAGUGUCGCGUGUCUUUGCUUUAGCUACAGUUAUUGGGAUAUAGAUUUAUGUCACUGGAAAAAAAGUGGAACUCCUGGUUUUGCUUCUCAGCAAAUGUUUUUUGUUCACAUUAGUUGCUGUACAAUAACAAAGGAUCAGGUAGGUGUGCAUGCAGGAAGUAAAAGGAAACAAAGGCCACAUUAAAGAAUAUAAAAAGAAGGAGCUGAGGUACAAACCCACACCUUGUUCAGGACUCCUCUCUUUGUGUUAAUGGACAAAUAUUCAUGGUGCCAUUGGGGGAUCCAAUUCCCUUGCCAUAGGCAGCAGCCUCCAGCUCUGCUGCUCCUGGGUACCAGUGAUUGCUUAGAGUUUAGGGUCCCACAAAGGCCUCCAAGCACAUCUCUUCCAGUCAGUGCCCCACAGCUAGGUUUACUCUGCUGUCACCUGAUGGAUGAGACUGAGAAGCUUGGAGACUUUUGAGAUUCUGAUGCUUUGCUACAGAGCUUUCUUCUGUUUCAUCAUUGCAUUUAAUCACUGGUGGGCAACUGGUCCCUAGAGCCCGGGAGGUUGGGUACUGCUGGAGUUGAAAGCUUUGGCAUGAGCGCCAGUGUGCAGACGAUGGAAAGCAGGUGAUGGAUUUACAGUGCUGAAAUCCUUGCUAUGACUGCUAUGCAAACACCAUAUAUUAUAGCUGUAAGUCCUGCAUAAGCCAAGAAGAUUAAAAAACACCUUGUAGAAAAGAGCUCCGGUCGGAUAUGCCUUUGUUCACGAGGACAACUAUGCAGUGGUACUAAUGCAUGGAUGUCAUUUAGUGCUGGGGGAGUUAAUGGGGCUUUAUUUGAAUAUAUCUCAGCUGCGUGAGUAAGGCUCACAGGCAGAAGUGUCUGUCUGGUGUACGUGUGUUGGAGGACACUGUCUGACAUUGAUGGAAAGCUGCUUGAUAGAGUUUCAUCUUUCAAUUCAUUUAGAUUUUUAAAGCUCAGGUUAAGUUGCCCAACUUAAUUUGCAAUCAUUUAAAGUAGGAGUUAAGUGAAGGUCACAGGCUGCUCUAAAUUAGAGGGAAACCGCUGUAGCACUGGCAUGCUUUGACCUUUUCAGUGUUUUCUGACUCUGCUGACCAGCUGAGCUCUUUAUAGCACUGUUAACCUGUGAGAAAUGUGUGAAGUGGUCAUUUCCCACAGUAAAGCAGGAAAUUUUGAAAGGUUAAAGUAGCAGUGAAUAUUCCUGGCAAGAGCAGGUACGGAAUCCCUUGGAACUGAUGAUCUGUGUGUACGUGUAUCUUCCUGCUCUGCAGUGUUUGUGUUAGAAGGGAAGUGAAGAGGAUGCAAAGCAGGGCUGUAGGCAGCUCACCCGAGCUCUGCCUGCAGGUUAUCCCAGAAAUCAGCAUGGUGCAGAGGGUGCUCUCAAACCCACAGGAAUCCGUGCUGUCUCAGAGCUAUAAAAAAAUACUACUACAAAAACUCCAGAAGUAACAUCAAACUCAGGACGUGGGGCUUUCCUAGAUCCCAUAUGCAGAACUUGGGGAAAAGACAGAUAUCAGUGUUCCCCCAUCCCUGGGGCUGUUCAAGGCCAGGUUGGAUGUGGCCCUGGGCAGCCUCAUCUGGUGAGUGGCAACUAGCCCACAGCACGAGCUUGGUCCUUUCCAAUCUAAGCCAUUCUAUGAUUCUGUGACGUACCUGGAGUUAACAGCAGUGAGCCCAGACAGUGUAGUAGAUGGGAUGCGCUAUCACAGUGCUCGAAGAGUAAAAUCCCUAUGCUCCAUGCCCCAUCUUUUUUAUGCACUUGUUUUCUUCCUUCCUGGUGUUUACGAUCCAGCUGCACGUUCUGCAGCUCUCUCUCUUCUGCCUUUAAUGAGGUAAAGUGGAGAAGUCGUAAAACCAGGCCGCCAUCGGUGUAGCAUCCUGGGGCUGCCAUAACGAGAGGCUUCUGGUCCUCACGAUACAACACCUUGGUGGCAGUGUCUAGUCCCACCUUCUUUGUGCAAAGGGCCAACAUAGGACAGCCCCUCUCCUCCAUUUCCUCCUGAUCGCUGGGGUGCAAGGCAGCUGUCAGAUAUUCAUCUGGAUUUUGUGGAUGUCACAGAUAGCCAGAGUGGGGAAAGAAGGAGGCAGUUUGCUCUGAGAAACAAGAGGGGCUUUACAUCAUUGCAGUACACUCUAAAUAUGCAGUAAGGGUCAAAAGUCUCUUCUGUUGCCCUAGGACUCCUGACUGCUGCAGGCUAAGCCACCAACUCUGAGAUCUGUGUAAGAGGGCAGAAGGGAAUAGCUCAUUGUUAAACAUCCACUUUGUCCAAUGCAUUGGUCAGGGGCUGACAGUUUCCAUUCUGGAGCUCUCAGAAAAUAAAGCGGCUCCUGAGCAUCCCUGCAAGGUGUUGUGGGUCACGCCAGCCACCUCCAUCCCCACACAGCUUAGAAGAGCACAGAAAUGCCAUUUGGCUUUCCAGACCACCUUCCAGCACGGCAGGGAAAGGGCUGGCGUUACACAUGCUGAUAGCGAUAGUACAUGAUAUGCAGUCAGCAGUUUGUUGCAAUCAGAGCUUCUGCUGAGCACGUCGAAAGCCUGCCCCUUUCCUGUUAAUUGAAUGUAAGCCCUUUGGUACUUCUCUCCCUUUGAUCUCUCUCAGAAUGAGACGUAAGGCUAUUAAGGCAGAGGAACCAGCGAGCACAAUGCUGGCAGUAAUCUGUGUCAGGAUGAAGGGAUGUUACGCAAGAGACCAGGAAUGAGAUGCAGUGUGAUUUUUUCUCCCUCCUCCCCCCACGUUUUCUCAUCUAAUCCCAAGGGGUUCUUUGUAAUAUUCGCCGGAUGGCAACUACAAACACUGGUGGACACAAGGAGAAAAAACGUCAUGCAACAAACAUGUAAAAAAGCUGGUUUAGCACUGAAACACUGCAUCUCUCCAGCAAAACCUGCCUGCUAGCAGGAGAUACAAAUGACUCCUGGAAUCAAAUGCAUGUUACUGUGUUCAGCAUGCAGCAUUACUGCAGGAUUUAAACACGGCAAAGAGGGAAUUGCUGAUCACACUGAAACCAAAAUGAGAAUAAAUGCAUAAUAAGAAAAAAUAGAUUAGAAGAUAAUUACUUCAUUUUGUACCUGGAGCAAUUACUGUUUGGAUUAGAGAUGACUUGUAGGUGAAAUAGUUAGUCUGCAAUAGAAGCUGUAGACACAAUGUUAAUAGUUAAAAUGUCAGUGCUAAGCUUCAUUAAAGGAGAAACCCAGCUCUAAACUUGGUUCGGUAUUUUCUUCCAUGAUUGCCACAGUGAGCACUUACGUAACACGCUGCAUAUUUCAAAGCAAGUUAUAAAAUUAGCUAGGAACUGCACGUAAUGCCUCUUUGCAGAGCUGGAGGUGAGCAUGCAGCACCUUCCAGGUGGUGCUCGGAAUACCGUGAUAUCCCCUGCUUCUGAUUUAGGGAUCUAAAAUUACAAAGCCAAAGAAUCUGAUGCUGGGACCUAUAAAAAUGCCUGUUUUUCAUCCGAGAGGACACGCAUAGGAGAGAGAGACACAGAGAGAGGACACAGUUGUUAUUUCAUCGCUGCAGUUCACUGGGAUUUUUUCUGAACACCGUUCCUAUGAACCUGGAUGGAGAAAGGCUGAAGGAGAAGAAAACCCAAAACACUUCAGCCUGCUUUUAUUUUCCGGUUAAAAAUGAAAGAAGUUAUGUAGAGCAGUUGAAGUAAACACCUGAAUCUUAAAAGACUGAAAAGGCAUUUGUAGCCGCUGACCAGAGCCGAAGAUAGAAGGAAUAAAACUGGCAAUUGAUACGUGCUGCAAAUCCUCAUGCCGAGUACAAACCUGACCUGUAUUUCAGCAGCUGCAGGCACCUUUCUGAUAUCUUCCCAGCAGUGCUGGGAGGUGCUCAGCCCAACAGCAAAGCCACGCACGCUGCAAGUCCCCAGCCUCCCUUUAGGGGACAGAGCUUCCCAAUGGCUGCUUUGAUUGUCUGUUUUCAAAAUACAAUCACAUGUGGAUAUUAAAAAUAGCACCACGCUGACUUGCUUCCUGUGAAAACAGGUUCCAGUGCUAGGAAACUAAACAUAAUUUUAAACGUUAUCAUCUGACUAAUCGUGUUGCUAUUCCAUUUCAGUCCAUAUAAUUUCUCUGGUAUGAACCUGGGUCACUUUUGCAUAUGUCCAAUCUAUUUUAUAUAUAUACGUUCACUCUAUUUGCACACUCAGAUGGGAGACAUAUGCCUCUUCUC